UCUUUUGGAUGUAGGCUUAUG
Molecule: non-coding RNA, 21 nt
Filed under: Caenorhabditis elegans
Lineage: Eukaryota; Metazoa; Nematoda; Chromadorea; Rhabditida; Rhabditidae
Source: RNAcentral